Molecule: ribosomal RNA, 858 nt
Filed under: uncultured bacterium
Lineage: Bacteria
Description: bacterial SSU rRNA
Rfam family: Bacterial small subunit ribosomal RNA
Source: RNAcentral
AGUCGAGCGAGUCUGCCUUGAAGAUCGGAGUGCUUGCACUCUGUGAAACAAGAUACAGGCUAGCGGCGGACGGGUGAGUAACACGUGGGUAACCUGCCCAAGAGAUCGGGAUAACACCUGGAAACAGAUGCUAAUACCGGAUAACAACAGAUGAUGCCUAUCAACUGUUUAAAAGAUGGUUCUGCUAACACUCUUGGAUGGACCUGCGGUGCAUUAGCUAGUUGGUAGGGUAACGGCCUACCAAGGCGAUGAUGCAUAGCCGAGUUGAGAGACUGAUCGGCCACAUUGGGACUGAGACACGGCCCAAACUCCUACGGGAGGCAGCAGUAGGGAAUCUUCCACAAUGGACGCAAGUCUGAUGGAGCAACGCCGCGUGAGUGAAGAAGGGUUUCGGCUCGUAAAGCUCUGUUGUUGGUGAAGAAGGACAGGGGUAGUAACUGACCUUUGUUUGACGGUAAUCAAUUAGAAAGUCACGGCUAACUACGUGCCAGCAGCCGCGGUAAUACGUAGGUGGCAAGCGUUGUCCGGAUUUAUUGGGCGUAAAGCGAGUGCAGGCGGCUCGAUAAGUCUGAUGUGAAAGCCUUCGGCUCAACCGGAGAAUUGCAUCAGAAACUGUCGAGCUUGAGUACAGAAGAGGAGAGUGGAACUCCAUGUGUAGCGGUGAAAUGCGUAGAUAUAUGGAAGAACACCGGUGGCGAAGGCGGCUCUCUGGUCUGUUACUGACGCUGAGGCUCGAAAGCAUGGGUAGCGAACAGGAUUAGAUACCCUGGUAGUCCAUGCCGUAAACGAUGAGUGCUAAGUGUUGGGAGGUUUCCGCCUCUCAGUGCUGCAGCUAACGCAUUAAGCACUCCGCCUGGG